RNAcentral lists this microRNA precursor (105 nucleotides) under Canis lupus familiaris (dog). RNAcentral describes it as "mir-8834 microRNA precursor family". It matches the Rfam family "mir-8834 microRNA precursor family". The record is from Rfam by way of RNAcentral. Lineage: Eukaryota; Metazoa; Chordata; Mammalia; Carnivora; Canidae.
AGGAGGAACAACCGCAGUGGCGGGGCCAGCUCUGGAGCCCUGGAGUCAGCUCCCGCAGUAACCACAGAGCUCUCCAUCUGCAGGGACUGGAGGCUCCGGGGCGGG